Molecule: transfer RNA, 65 nt
Filed under: Bannacoris arboreus
Lineage: Eukaryota; Metazoa; Arthropoda; Insecta; Hemiptera; Urostylididae
Description: tRNA-Cys
Source: RNAcentral
AAUCUUAUAGUUAAAUAUAAUAAUAUUAAAUUGCAAGUUUAAGGUUGAAUUGUAUUCUAAGAUUU